This 503-nucleotide ribosomal RNA is filed under the name uncultured bacterium. Its description in RNAcentral is "partial 16S ribosomal RNA". It matches the Rfam family "Bacterial small subunit ribosomal RNA", at positions 28 to 523 of the family's 1533-position model. The record is from RNAcentral.
GAUGAACGCUAGCGACAGGCCUAACACAUGCAAGUCGAGGGGUAGCAGGAUGUAGCAAUACAUCGCUGACGACCGGCGCACGGGUGAGUAACGCGUAUGCAACCUACCUUCUACAGGGGGAUAGCCCGGUGAAAUCCGGAUUAAUACCCCAUAAAACAGGGACUCCGCAUGGAGAUAUUUGUUAAAGAUUAAUCGGUAGAAGAUGGGCAUGCGUUCCAUUAGCCAGUUGGUGAGGUAACGGCUCACCAAAGCAACGAUGGAUAGGGGAACUGAGAGGUUUAUCCCCCACACUGGAACUGAGACACGGACCAGACUCCUACGGGAGGCAGCAGUGAGGAAUAUUGGUCAAUGGGCGCGAGCUUGAACCAGCCAAGUCGCGUGAAGGAAGACUGCCUUAUGGGUUGUAAACUUCUUUUAUAUGAGAAUAAAAAGAGUUACGUGUAACUUAUUGCAAGUAUCAUAUGAAUAAGCAUCGGCUAACUCCGUGCCAGCAGCCGCCGUAA